CGUGAUCCGCCCUUCGGGGUGGUGAAAGUGGCGCACGGGUGAGUAACGCGUGGAUAAUCUGCCCGAGGAUUUGGGAUAACAUCUCGAAAGGGGUGCUAAUACCGAAUAAGCCCACGGGGUCUACGGAUCUUGCGGGAAAAGGGGGGGACCUUCGGGCCUCCUGUCCUUGGAUGAGUCUGCGUACCAUUAGCUAGUUGGUGGGGUAAUGGCCUACCAAGGCGACGA
RNAcentral lists this ribosomal RNA (225 nucleotides) under uncultured Geobacter sp. RNAcentral's name for it is "partial 16S ribosomal RNA". It matches the Rfam family "Bacterial small subunit ribosomal RNA", at positions 67 to 279 of the family's 1533-position model. Lineage: Bacteria; Pseudomonadati; Thermodesulfobacteriota; Desulfuromonadia; Geobacterales; Geobacteraceae. The record is from RNAcentral.